UGAGUAACGCGUAUCCAACCUGCCGUCUACUCUUGGACAGCCUUCUGAAAGGAAGAUUAAUACAAGAUGGCAUCAUGAGUCCGCAUGUUCACAUGAUUAAAGGUAUUCCGGUAGACGAUGGGGAUGCGUUCCAUUAGAUAGUAGGCGGGGUGACGGCCCACCUAGUCUUCGAUGGAUAGGGGUUCUGAGAGGAAGGUCCCCCACAUUGGAACUGAGACACGGUCCAA
Molecule: ribosomal RNA, 227 nt
Filed under: uncultured bacterium
Lineage: Bacteria
Description: partial 16S ribosomal RNA
Rfam family: Bacterial small subunit ribosomal RNA
Source: RNAcentral